Molecule: long non-coding RNA, 441 nt
Organism: Zalophus californianus (California sea lion)
Lineage: Eukaryota; Metazoa; Chordata; Mammalia; Carnivora; Otariidae
Exons: 3
Source: RefSeq, a predicted model, not a curated record
GCUUCUGCACCACCACAUGAGAAGGGUGCUUUGUUUUAAUUGUCACAUUUGUUGUUUGGAAGGAUGCUCCUCAAGCACAGAAUUUUCUGGGUGACCUUUCCGUAAGAAUUGCAUGCAAAUGUCCCAGUGGAAGGUCGUGAUUGGUCUGGAAAGGUUAUCUCCAUUCGUCUAGAUGACCGUCUUCACAAAAGAAGAAAGUUCAGGUGACGCUCUUUGAAAUACACACCGGGAAACACUGUGUGUCAGGAAGCCGAGCCACAUUUCCUUCUUCUCGGCCUCGUGAAGGCUGGCCUCUGGGCUGUAAGCGCCUGGCUCCUCAGCAGCGUUCUCUGUCAUGAUGCCCAAAACUGGGUCCCGCUGGCCCAGUCGAGCAUGCGCCAGCACUUGCGAAUAGCUGUCAGAUGGAUGGAGUGGACGGACAGAUGGAUGGACGGGUGGAAG